AGAGUUUGAUCAUGGCUCAGGAUGAACGCUGGCGGCGUGCCUAAUACAUGUAAGUCGAACGGAAGAUGUAGCAAUAUGUCUUUAGUGGCGAACGGGUGAGUAACGCGUUGGUGACCUGCCCCGAAGAGAGGGAUAACAGACCGAAAGGUUUGCUAAUACCGCGUAAUUUCCUUCUAGUUAGAGAGGAGGGAAGAAAGGCCGAAAGGCGCUUUGGGAGGGGCCUGCGUCCCAUCAGCUAGUUGGCGAGGUAAAAGCUCACCAAGGCGAUGACGGGUAGGGGACCUGAGAGGGUGACCCCCCACAAUGGAACUGAAACACGGUCCAUACACCUACGGGUGGCAGCAGUAGGGAAUAUUGGUUAAUGGGCGAAAGCCCGACCCAGCAACGCCGCGUGCACGAAGAAGGCCUUCGGGUUGUAAAGUGCUUUUUAGUGGGAUGAGGAAGGACAGUACCACUAGAAUAAGUCUCAGCUAACUACGUGCCAGCAGCCGCGGUAACACGUAGGAGACGAGCGUUAUCCGGAUUUACUGGGUGUAAAGCGCGUGCAGGCGGUCGGGUAAGUUGGAUGUGAAAGCUCCUGGCUUAACUGGGAGAGGUCGUUCAAAACUGCCGGGCUAGAGUGCAACAGAGGGGAGUGGAAUUCCGAGUGUAGCGGUAAAAUGCAUAGAUAUUCGGAAGAACACCAGUGGCGAAGGCGGCUCUCUGGGUUGCAACUGACGCUCAGACGCGAAAGCUAGGGUAGCGAACGGGAUUAGAGACCCCGGUAGUCCUAGCCGUAAACGAUGUGGACUUGGCGUGGGUGGGUUGAAAUCCAUCUGUGCCGAAGCAAACGCGAUAAGUCCACCACCUGGGGACUACGGGCCGCAAGGUUAAAACUCAAAGGAAUUG
This 888-nucleotide ribosomal RNA is filed under the name uncultured bacterium. RNAcentral's name for it is "bacterial SSU rRNA". It matches the Rfam family "Bacterial small subunit ribosomal RNA", at positions 8 to 912 of the family's 1533-position model. The record is from RNAcentral.